Molecule: ribosomal RNA, 501 nt
Filed under: uncultured bacterium
Lineage: Bacteria
Description: partial 16S ribosomal RNA
Rfam family: Bacterial small subunit ribosomal RNA
Source: RNAcentral
ACUCAAAUGAAUAGACGGGGGCCCGCACAAGCGGUGGAGUAUGUGGUUUAAUUCGACGCAACGCGAAGAACCUUACCUGGGCUCGAAGGCUAGAUGGUAUUGAACCGAAAGGGGAUAGAUCCCGCAAGGGAAGUCUAGUCAGGUGCUGCAUGGCUGUCGUCAGCUCGUGUCGUGAGAUGUUGGGUUAAGUCCCGCAACGAGCGCAACCCUUGUCUUUAGUUGCUAGCAGUUCGGCUGAGCACUCUAAAGAGACUGCCGACGUCAAGUCGGAGGAAGGUGGGGAUGACGUCAAGUCCUCAUGGCCCUUACGUCCAGGGCUACACACGUACUACAAUGGUCGGUACAAAGCGCAGCCAACCCGCGAGGGGGAGCCAAUCGCACAAAGCCGACCUCAGUACAGAUUGCAGUCUGCAACUCGACUGCAUGAAGUCGGAAUCGCUAGUAAUCGUCAAUCAGCAGGUGACGGUGAAUACGUUCCCGGGCCUUGUACACACCGCCCGU